UAAUACAUGCAAGUCGAACGAACUCUGGUAUUGAUUGGUGCUUGCAUCAUGAUUUACAUUUGAGUGAGUGGCGAACUGGUGAGUAACACGUGGGAAACCUGCCCAGAAGCGGGGGAUAACACCUGGAAACAGAUGCUAAUACCGCAUAACAACUUGGACCGCAUGGUCCGAGUUUGAAAGAUGGCUUCGGCUAUCACUUUUGGAUGGUCCCGCGGCGUAUUAGCUAGAUGGUGGGGUAACGGCUCACCAUGGCAAUGAUACGUAGCCGACCUGAGAGGGUAAUCGGCCACAUUGGGACUGAGACACGGCCCAAACUCCUACGGGAGGCAGCAGUAGGGAAUCUUCCACAAUGGACGAAAGUCUGAUGGAGCAACGCCGCGUGAGUGAAGAAGGGUUUCGGCUCGUAAAACUCUGUUGUUAAAGAAGAACAUAUCUGAGAGUAACUGUUCAGGUAUUGACGGUAUUUAACCAGAAAGCCACGGCUAACUACGUGCCAGCAGCCGCGGUAAUACGUAGGUGGCAAGCGUUGUCCGGAUUUAUUGGGCGUAAAGCGAGCGCAGGCGGUUUUUUAAGUCUGAUGUGAAAGCCUUCGGCUCAACCGAAGAAGUGCAUCGGAAACUGGGAAACUUGAGUGCAGAAGAGGACAGUGGAACUCCAUGUGUAGCGGUGAAAUGCGUAGAUAUAUGGAAGAACACCAGUGGCGAAGGCGGCUGUCUGGUCUGUAACUGACGCUGAGGCUCGAAAGUAUGG
This 750-nucleotide ribosomal RNA is filed under the name Lactiplantibacillus pentosus. Its description in RNAcentral is "bacterial SSU rRNA". It matches the Rfam family "Bacterial small subunit ribosomal RNA", at positions 49 to 764 of the family's 1533-position model. The record is from RNAcentral. RNAcentral also lists the same sequence under 1 other name. Lineage: Bacteria; Bacillati; Bacillota; Bacilli; Lactobacillales; Lactobacillaceae.